UCCCUGGUGGUCCAGUGGUUAGGACACCACGCUUUCGCUGCUGGGGGCCCGGGUUUGAUCCCUGGUCAGGGAA
This is a non-coding RNA of Mesoplodon densirostris (Blainville's beaked whale), 73 nucleotides long. NCBI's taxonomy places the organism in Eukaryota, Metazoa, Chordata, Mammalia, Artiodactyla, Ziphiidae. The record is from the annotation of a RefSeq genome assembly.